CCAUCUAUAGGUCUAAUUGCCGGUGCAGCAGGAGGAAGUGUUGCUGUUAUUCUUGUGUUGGUAGCAGUCGUUAUCUUUAUCCUCUGGCGCAGGCGACGAAAGCAACGACCUCCCCUCCCUGUCCGUAAGAAUAUGUCUGAAGCGGAAGGGUUUUCUAAUACAUCGUUCGUUUCAGACCAAACCGGCAUGAGAUUGCAAGAAGCCACAACAGCAGCUGCUGAUGGGGGCCCAACUGCAGCUAGGCACCAUGAACAACAUGCCUCCAAACCGAUUGCCAUGGAGAAC
Molecule: long non-coding RNA, 285 nt
Organism: Branchiostoma belcheri (Belcher's lancelet)
Lineage: Eukaryota; Metazoa; Chordata; Leptocardii; Amphioxiformes; Branchiostomatidae
Exons: 3
Source: RefSeq, a predicted model, not a curated record